Molecule: ribosomal RNA, 253 nt
Filed under: uncultured bacterium
Lineage: Bacteria
Description: partial 16S ribosomal RNA
Rfam family: Bacterial small subunit ribosomal RNA
Source: RNAcentral
UACGUAGGUGGCAAGCGUUGUCCGGAUUUACUGGGCGUAAAGAGCGCGCAGGCGGUCGUUCAAGUCGCGUGUGAAAGCCCCCGGCUCAACUGGGGAGGGUCACGCGAUACUGAUCGACUCGAAGGCAGGAGAGGGUAGUGGAAUUCCCGGUGUAGUGGUGAAAUGCGUAGAUAUCGGGAGGAACACCAGUGGCGAAGGCGGCUUCCUGGCGCGAAUCUGACGCUGAGGUGCGAAAGCGUGGGGAGCGAGCCGG